This 371-nucleotide ribosomal RNA is filed under the name uncultured organism. RNAcentral's name for it is "bacterial SSU rRNA". It matches the Rfam family "Bacterial small subunit ribosomal RNA", at positions 526 to 896 of the family's 1533-position model. The record is from RNAcentral.
CAGAGACUGCAAGCGUUAUUCGGAUUCACUGGGCGUAAAGGGUGCGCAGGCGGCCAAGUGUGUUAGGCGUGAAAGCCCGGGGCUUAACCCCGGAAUUGCACCUAAAACUACUUGGCUAGAGCAUUGGAGAGGGUAGCGGAAUUCACGGUGUAGCAGUGAAAUGCGUAGAUAUCGUGAGGAACACCAGAGGCGAAGGCGGCUACCUGGACAAUUGCUGACGCUCAGGCACGAAAGCGUGGGGAGCAAAAGGGAUUAGAUACCCCUGUAGUCCACGCCCUAAACGGUGCACACUAGGUCUUGGCGGAUUCGACCCCACCAGGGCCCAAGCUAACGCGUUAAGUGUGCCGCCUGAGGACUACGGCGCAAGACUA